Molecule: ribosomal RNA, 119 nt
Filed under: Nomascus leucogenys (northern white-cheeked gibbon)
Lineage: Eukaryota; Metazoa; Chordata; Mammalia; Primates; Hylobatidae
Source: RNAcentral
GUCUGUAACCAUACCAUCCUGGAAUGUGUCUGAUCUUGUCUGAUCUCAGAAGCUAAGCAGGGUUGAUCCUGGUUAGGAUUUGAAUGGGAAAAAGAAGCAAAUAAAAAAGUGGCAUGGCU